GGGAGGGUGUCCAGAUAGGCAACAAGGCGUGACUUGUCAUUCUUGGUGAGAGCAGGUGGCUUCGUGUUGGACCAGUAGACGAAUCUACCUUGUGGAGUAGAUGUAAUCACCAAGCCCUAUUGUGGACCUAAUAAAGUGAGGACCGGAAAGGCGAUCAGAGGUGGGGUGAAUGGGAGCCAAUUCAAAUUUUCUCCAAGAACUUUGGUUAAAAACCCACACUCUCUUCUAGCAAAAUCAAGUCCACUUAGCUAUGCACGAGCUAAUGGAUCUAGGAAUGAUGCUAGGAAC
RNAcentral lists this long non-coding RNA (288 nucleotides) under Setaria viridis. Its description in RNAcentral is "long non-coding RNA (SVIR_LNC006636)". Lineage: Eukaryota; Viridiplantae; Streptophyta; Magnoliopsida; Poales; Poaceae. The record is from RNAcentral.